RNAcentral lists this transfer-messenger RNA (357 nucleotides) under uncultured Bulleidia sp. It matches the Rfam family "transfer-messenger RNA". From Rfam's summary of the family: Bacterial tmRNA, also known as 10Sa RNA or SsrA, is named for its dual tRNA and mRNA-like properties. Its role is to liberate the mRNA from a stalled ribosome. The record is from RNAcentral. Lineage: Bacteria; Bacillati; Bacillota; Erysipelotrichia; Erysipelotrichales; Erysipelotrichaceae.
GGGGCUGUAAUGGAUUUCGACAGGUUUAUGUUUGAUUCAGGCUGCAGUGGAGCGGUGACCUUAUCACCACCUAAAUUUAAACGCUAACAGAAACACAAGUUUCGCUUUCGCUGCUUAAGUUACGCAAUAGGCGUCGCAGCGUCCCGGCCGUGCUUUAGCCGUUAUGCACCGGCUGCGUAAUUGAAACGGAUAAGGUGAACCCGAAGUCUGUACGGGGAUCCCGACAAUCUCACAGGCAAAUUCAGCAGAUGGUUGGCUCACUGACAUGUCUGCUGUCUUAUCAACCAGUGAACUAAACUGUAGACGCCGGAAUGUGGGACAACUCUUGGACAGGGGUUCGACUCCCCUCAGCUCCAC